This 537-nucleotide ribosomal RNA is filed under the name Periconia igniaria. RNAcentral describes it as "eukaryotic LSU rRNA". The stretch from base 172 to 325 matches the Rfam family "5.8S ribosomal RNA". The record is from RNAcentral. Lineage: Eukaryota; Fungi; Ascomycota; Dothideomycetes; Pleosporales; Periconiaceae.
GGACUGCGGAGAUCAUUACGAAAUUCGGCGCGCUUCGGCGCUGCCUUAUUCACCCACCCUUUGUCUACGUGUACCUCUAUAGCUUCCUCGGCGGGCUCGCCCGCCGCCAGGAACCCACGAAACCCCUUGCAUUAUACACGAAAACUUCUGAUAACAAACCUAAAUUAUUACAACUUUCAACAAUGGAUCUCUUGGUUCUGGCAUCGAUGAAGAACGCAGCGAAAUGCGAUAAGUAGUGUGAAUUGCAGAAUUCAGUGAAUCAUCGAAUCUUUGAACGCACAUUGCGGCCAUAGGUAUUCCUUUGGCCAUGCCUGUUCGAGCGUCAUUUACACCCUCAAGCCUAGCUUGGUGUUGGGCGUCUGUCCCGCCGAUUUCGCGCGCGGACUCGCCUCAAAGUCAUUGGCGGCGGUCGUGCCGGCUCCUCGCGCAGCACAUUUGCGCUUCUCGGAGGCCCGGCGGAUCCGCGCUCCAGCAAAGACCUUUCAUGACUUGACCUCGGAUCAGGUAGGGAUACCCGCUGAACUUAAGCAUAUCAUA